Molecule: long non-coding RNA, 428 nt
Organism: Gossypium arboreum
Lineage: Eukaryota; Viridiplantae; Streptophyta; Magnoliopsida; Malvales; Malvaceae
Exons: 2
Source: RefSeq, a predicted model, not a curated record
AUGUGUUCAUUCUUUAUUUUCUUGCCGAAGCUAAAACAAAGAAAAGAAAUAAAAGAAGUUAGGGUUUCGUCAUCUCUUAAGUUCAAUUAAGAUUAGAAGUCAAGCUGCAAGCUCGAGGACUGUCAGCCAAGCUCAUCACACUAUCAACUAUUUUGGUAUCUCUUAGCUAAACUUAAAUUAUAGCAUGUAUAGACUAGCUUUGAGAUUGAAUAUUUUGAGAAAUGUUGUAAAUUAGUCAUGCGAAAAUGGCUUAAUUACCUUGCUUGACUUGUUUUUAGUUUAGUUGUGGUUAAAGUUUAUUUUGAUUGAGAUUUGUUAUGCCAUGAAUAUAUAUGUGUGUAAACUGUGCUUAGUGAUCAUAAGUCAAGCUUAGUCCUUGAUUUUGAAUGUGAUAUGAUAAAAUCGGCUAUAAGCUUGUUAAAAUGUUA